UUGACCUCAAAUCGGGUGAGACUACCCGCUGAACUUAAGCAUAUCAAUAAGCGGAGGAAAAGAAACUAACAAGGAUUCCCCUAGUAACUGCGAGUGAAGCGGGAAAAGCUCAAAUUUAAAAUCUGGUGGCCUUUGGUCAUCCGAGUUGUAAUUUAGAGAAGCGUCUUCCGCGCUGGACCGUGCACAAGUCUCCUGGAAUGGAGCGUCAUAGAGGGUGAGAAUCCCGUCUUUGGCACGGAUCCCGGUGCUUCUGUGAUGCGCUCUCGAAGAGUCGAGUUGUUUGGGAAUGCAGCUCAAAAUGGGUGGUGAACUCCAUCUAAAGCUAAAUAUUGGCGAGAGACCGAUAGCGAACAAGUACCGUGAGGGAAAGAUGAAAAGCACUUUGGAAAGAGAGUGAAACAGUACGUGAAAUUGUUGAAAGGGAAACGCUUGAAGUCAGUCGCGUCGUCCGAGACUCAGCCUAGCCUCGGCNUGGUGUACUUCUCGACCGACGGGUCAGCAUCAAUUUCACCCCUUGGAUAAUGGCGAGGGAAAUGUGGCACCUUUGCGGGUGCGUUAUAGUCCCUCGUCGCAUGCAAGGGUCGGGAUUGAGGAACUCAGCACGCGCCUUUUGGUGUCGGGGCUUUUGCCCACGAUACGUGCUUAGGAUGUCGGGUC
RNAcentral lists this ribosomal RNA (657 nucleotides) under Russula emetica. Its description in RNAcentral is "partial 28S ribosomal RNA". It matches the Rfam family "Eukaryotic large subunit ribosomal RNA", at positions 1 to 632 of the family's 3401-position model. Lineage: Eukaryota; Fungi; Basidiomycota; Agaricomycetes; Russulales; Russulaceae. RNAcentral also lists the same sequence under 1 other name. The record is from RNAcentral.